RNAcentral lists this ribosomal RNA (500 nucleotides) under uncultured bacterium. RNAcentral describes it as "partial 16S ribosomal RNA". It matches the Rfam family "Bacterial small subunit ribosomal RNA", at positions 30 to 523 of the family's 1533-position model. The record is from RNAcentral.
AUUGAACGCUGGCGGAAUGCUUUACACAUGCAAGUCGAACGGCAGCACGGACUUCGGUCUGGUGGCGAGUGACGAACGGGUGAGUAAUGUAUCGGAACGUGCCCAGUCGUGGGGGAUAACGUAGUGAAAAUUACGCUAAUACCGCAUACGAUCUAUGGAUGAAAGCGGGGGAUCGCAAGACCUCGCGCGAUUGGAGCGGCCGAUAUCAGAUUAGGUAGUUGGUGGGGUAAAGGCCCACCAAGCCAACGAUCUGUAGCUGGUCUGAGAGGACGACCAGCCACACUGGAACUGAGACACGGUACAGACUCCUACGGGAGGAAGCAGUGGGGAAUUUUGGACAAUGGGCGAAAGCCUGAUCCAGCCAUUCCGCGUGCAGGAUGAAGGCCCUCGGGUUGUAAACUGCUUUUGUACAGAACGAAAAGGUUUCUACUAAUACUAGGAGCUCAUGACGGUACUGUAAGAAUAAGCACCGGCUAACUACGUGCCAGCAGCCGCGGUAA